This 207-nucleotide ribosomal RNA is filed under the name uncultured fungus. Its description in RNAcentral is "partial small subunit ribosomal RNA". The stretch from base 83 to 207 matches the Rfam family "Eukaryotic small subunit ribosomal RNA", at positions 736 to 864 of the family's 1831-position model. The record is from RNAcentral. Lineage: Eukaryota; Fungi.
GGCCGGUACGCUUUCGGCUCUUGCAGUCGAGGUAUGACCUGGUCAUCCGUACGGGAAGCCUUCUCGGCCUUCACUGGUCGGAUUGUGGAUCGUACACUUUACUUUGAAAAAAUUAGAGUGUUUCAGGCAGGCAAUUGCUUGGAUACUGCAGCAUGGAAUAAUGGAAUAGGACUUUGAUCUAUUUGUUGGUUUCUCGAGAUCAAAGUA